GAAAAGAGGCCUCUUAACAAUGCUCCUGCUUUUAGAUGAGUCUGCGUCUGAUUAGCUAGAUGGUGGGGCAACGGCUUACCAUGGCGACGAUCAGUAGUCGGCCUGAGAGGGUGACCGGCCACAUUGGGACUGAGACACGGCCCAAACUCCUACGGGAGGCAGCAGUGGGGAAUCUUCCGCAAUGGGCGAAAGCCUGACGGAGCAACGCCGCGUGAUCGAAGAAGGCCUUCGGGUUGUAAAGAUCUGUUGACAGGGACGAAUAAGCAAUGCGAAUAGUUUUGUGUAUGACGGUACCUGUUUAGAAAGCUCCGGCUAACUACGUGCCAGCAGCCGCGGUAAUACGUAGGGAGCAAGCGUUGUCCGGAAUUACUGGGCGUAAAGGGCGCGUAGGUGGGCGCUUAAGUCAGGUGUGAAAACUCCGGGCUCAACCUGGAGACUGCACUUGAAACUGGGUGUCUUGAGGGCAGGAGAGGAAAGUGGAAUUCCUAGUGUAGCGGUGAAAUGCGUAGAUAUUAGGAGGAACACCAGUGGCGAAGGCGACUUUCUGGACUGUACCUGACGCUGAGGCGCGAAAGCGUGGGUAGCGAACGGGAUUAGAUACCCCGGUAGUCCACGCCGUAAACGAUGAAUGCUAGGUGUAGGAGGUAUCGACUCCUUCU
RNAcentral lists this ribosomal RNA (659 nucleotides) under uncultured bacterium. Its description in RNAcentral is "bacterial SSU rRNA". It matches the Rfam family "Bacterial small subunit ribosomal RNA", at positions 200 to 842 of the family's 1533-position model. The record is from RNAcentral.